RNAcentral lists this non-coding RNA (88 nucleotides) under Schistosoma margrebowiei. Its description in RNAcentral is "Eukaryotic large subunit ribosomal RNA". It matches the Rfam family "Eukaryotic large subunit ribosomal RNA", at positions 2234 to 2324 of the family's 3401-position model. Lineage: Eukaryota; Metazoa; Platyhelminthes; Trematoda; Strigeidida; Schistosomatidae. The record is from Rfam by way of RNAcentral.
AGUUUUGAUUUUGUUAAGUCGGGUAACUAUGACUCUCUUAAGGUAGUCAAAUGCCUCGUCAUCUAAUUAGUGACGCGCAUGAAUGGAU